Non-coding RNA from Brassica napus (rape), 130 nucleotides. Lineage: Eukaryota; Viridiplantae; Streptophyta; Magnoliopsida; Brassicales; Brassicaceae. The record is from Rfam.
UUCCUCAAGUUUAUUUUAUUUUUGAGAAGUGGUCCUAUUAUACGGCGAGGGAAAUACAUAUGGUCGUAAUAUAUCGUUUCGGUCGUCCUUUCUACCUGUUCACGAUCUGAUUGUUGCUCCUCGUCCACAU